Molecule: ribosomal RNA, 62 nt
Filed under: Rhodospirillales bacterium
Lineage: Bacteria; Pseudomonadati; Pseudomonadota; Alphaproteobacteria; Rhodospirillales
Description: partial 16S ribosomal RNA
Rfam family: Bacterial small subunit ribosomal RNA
Source: RNAcentral
CAACUUGAGAGUUUGAUCCUGGCUCAGAACGAACGCUGGCGGCAUGCUUAACACAUGCAAGU